RNAcentral lists this ribosomal RNA (253 nucleotides) under uncultured bacterium. RNAcentral's name for it is "partial 16S ribosomal RNA". It matches the Rfam family "Bacterial small subunit ribosomal RNA", at positions 524 to 776 of the family's 1533-position model. The record is from RNAcentral.
UACGUAGGGACCAAGCGUUGUUCGGAUUUACUGGGCGUAAAGGGCGCGUAGGCGGCAAUUCAAGUCAUCUGUGAAAUCUCCGGGCUUAACCCGGAACGGUCAGGUGAUACUGUUUUGCUAGAGUGCGGAAGGGGCAAUCGGAAUUCUCGGUGUAGCGGUGAAAUGCGUAGAUAUCGGGAGGAACACCAGUGGCGAAGGCGGCGACCUGGGCCAAUAUUGACGCUGAGGUGCGAAUGCGUGGGGAGCAAACAGG